RNAcentral lists this long non-coding RNA (294 nucleotides) under Nicotiana benthamiana. RNAcentral describes it as "long non-coding RNA (NBEN_LNC015343)". The record is from RNAcentral. Lineage: Eukaryota; Viridiplantae; Streptophyta; Magnoliopsida; Solanales; Solanaceae.
UUUUGCAUGUGUUUCUCUCUUCUAUGGCUAUGAAGAAGAUAGGUGAGGGAGCGAUGACUAUCGUGACCUGAGAUGGAUAGCAACAAAAAUUCAGGCAAAAUUGGGGAGGAGGCUUGUUCUAUAUAGGUUGUGAAAUAGCCAAGAGAGGGAUGGAUGCGUGAAUCGAUCGGAAGGGGUCUAGUGGUGUUCUUCGAUGAAGAUGAUCUUCAAAGGUCGCUUGGUCGAGGAAGGGUCGUCUGGAGAAGAUGAUAUCAAGGGGAGUCAUUUUUUCAGCGCAACUUUCUCUGGGGUGUG